This 266-nucleotide ribosomal RNA is filed under the name uncultured bacterium. Its description in RNAcentral is "partial 16S ribosomal RNA". It matches the Rfam family "Bacterial small subunit ribosomal RNA", at positions 793 to 1055 of the family's 1533-position model. The record is from RNAcentral.
GUCCACGCCGUAAACGAUGAGAGCUAGUUGUCAGUAGGCAUGCCUAUUGGUGACGCAGCUAACGCAUUAAGCUCUCCGCCUGGGGAGUACGGCCGCAAGGUUAAAACUCAAAGAAAUUGACGGGGGCCCGCACAAGCGGUGGAGCAUGUGGUUUAAUUCGAAGCAACGCGCAGAACCUUACCCACGCUUGACAUGUCCGGUAUGAUUUCCAGAGAUGGAUUUCUUCAGUUCGGCUGGCCGGAACACAGGUGCUGCAUGGCUGUCGU